GAUGAACGCUGGCGGCGUGCCUAAUACAUGCAAGUCGAGCGAACGGACGAGAAGCUUGCUUCCCUGAUGUUAGCGGCGGACGGGUGAGUAACACGUGGAUAACCUACCUAUAAGACUGGGAUAACUUCGGGAAACCGUAGCUAAUACCGGAUAAUAUUUUGAACCGCAUGGUUCAAAAGUGAAAGACGGUUUUGCUGUCACUUAUAGAUGGAUCCGCGCUGCAUUAGCUAGUUGGUAAGGUAACGGCUUACCAAGGCAACAAUGCAUAGCCGACCUGAGAGGGUGAUCGGCCACACUGGAACUGAGACACGGUCCAGACUCCUACGGGAGGCAGCAGUAGGGAAUCUUCCGCAAUGGGCGAAAGCCUGACGGAGCAACGCCGCGUGAGUGAUGAAGGUCUUCGGAUCGUAAAGCUCUGUUAUUAGGGAAGAACAUAUGUGUAAGUAACUGUGCACAUCUUGACGGUACCUAAUCAGAAAGCCACGGCUAACUACGUG
This 497-nucleotide ribosomal RNA is filed under the name uncultured bacterium. RNAcentral describes it as "partial 16S ribosomal RNA". It matches the Rfam family "Bacterial small subunit ribosomal RNA", at positions 28 to 507 of the family's 1533-position model. The record is from RNAcentral.